AGUGAACGCUGGCGGUAGGCCUAACACAUGCAAGUCGAACGGCAGCACAGUAAGAGCUUGCUCUUACGGGUGGCGAGUGGCGGACGGGUGAUGAAUACAUCGGAAUCUACUUUUUCUUGGGGGAUAACGCAGGGACACUUACGCUAAUACCGCAUACGACCUACGGGUGAAAGCAGGGGAUCUUCGGACCUUGCGCGAUUGAAUGAGCCGAUGUCGGAUUAGCUAGUUGGCGGGGUAAAGGCCCACCAAGGCGACGAUCCGUAGCUGGUCUGAGAGGAUGAUCAGCCACACUGGAACUGAGACACGGUCCAGACUCCUACGGGAGGCAGCAGUGGGGAAUAUUGGACAAUGGGCGCAAGCCUGAUCCAGCCAUACCGCGUGGGUGAAGAAGGCCUUCGGAUUGUAAAGCCCUUUUGUUGGGAAAGAAAAGCAGCAGGUUAAUACCCCGCUGUUCUGACGGUACCAAAAGAAUAAGCACCGGCUAACUUCGUG
RNAcentral lists this ribosomal RNA (492 nucleotides) under uncultured bacterium. Its description in RNAcentral is "partial 16S ribosomal RNA". It matches the Rfam family "Bacterial small subunit ribosomal RNA", at positions 29 to 507 of the family's 1533-position model. The record is from RNAcentral.